CUGUGAAAGUACGGAUUUUCUCGUAGUCUUUGACAAUUCCCAUCCUUUUUAAUGCCAUCAAGCGACUGUAGGGGUUGGAGUCCGUCACCUCCGGGCUCAUGGUCUCGAUGCGGGCCCGCGCCGACGCCCGCCCGCCCCGGGCCAGCUCCAGCUCCCGCUCCAGCUCCCGCACGCGGCGCUCCAGCAGCUCCACCCGCCCUCCCUCCGCCAUGGCAGCGACACGUCUGCUCUCGGCCGCGGCUUCCGGGAACGCCACGGAACCGUCCGCCGCUCCCGCCGCCUCAGCGAGCGUUCCCAUCGCGGGCUGAGCGCCCGCCUCGCGGCAGCGAAUGAGCUCCGGCGGGGCUGAUAGCACGAAGCAGCCUCACCAGUCCCACGCGGCACCGUAAUCGUGCUCUGCGAUCCGCUUUCCUUCGAGAGGAGCCGGCCGGCACCGAGAGCCGAUGAAUAGAAGACCGCUUUCAGCGUUGGACCAAGCAACCUCCUGUUGCCGCAGCAACACCGGAAAGGGCGGCUCCAUAA
RNAcentral lists this long non-coding RNA (522 nucleotides) under Gallus gallus (chicken). Lineage: Eukaryota; Metazoa; Chordata; Aves; Galliformes; Phasianidae. The record is from RNAcentral.